Molecule: long non-coding RNA, 765 nt
Organism: Cynoglossus semilaevis (tongue sole)
Lineage: Eukaryota; Metazoa; Chordata; Actinopteri; Pleuronectiformes; Cynoglossidae
Exons: 4
Source: RefSeq, a predicted model, not a curated record
CCUGGAGGCCCUGCUGGUCCGGUGUCUCCUCGGGGGCCAAUGGGUCCCUGAACAACAAACACAUCACAACACGUUUAUAAACACACUUCAAUGUUGGGACACAACCACCAAACCAUCCACUCACAGUCAGACUGACCUGGUUUCCUUUGGAGCCUUUCGUACCCACAAUCCCCUGAGAGACGGCGACGGAGACGGAGACGGAGACAGCAUGCACUUGGUGUCAACAAACUGAAGGCCCUGUGGGGGCGUGGCCUCACACCUCGUCUCCCUUUGGACCAGGCAGUCCUUGGAUUCCUGGAAGUCCUCUGUCCCCCUUCUCUCCAAUAUCUCCUGGUGGUCCGAUGAGGCCGAUGAGUCCUCCGUGACCCUGGACACACAUCCAAGCAGUCCUGGUGGACCCUGAUUGGAUAAAAAAGCCUUAGGGUUGAAAACCAGUCUGGUCGUACUGCAUUAACGAGGGUCUUAAAGGUCAACUAAAGGUCAACCUCCUCUGUUGCCAUGGUAACAGUCAUGGAUGGACGGAUGGAUGGAUGUUGGAUGGAUGGAUGAUGGAUGGACGGAUGGAUGGAUGAUGGGUGGAUGGAUGAUGGAUUGUGUGGUGGAUGGAUGAUGGAUGAUGGAUGAUGGAUGUAUGUAUAGAUUGAUGGGUGUUUAUUUCAUCCCCCCCUUCUUUCCUCUUUGCUGCAGGUGGAUCCUGUAGACAGGUCACAUGACCUGCCCCCCCCAGGUGGAUCCUGUAGACAGGUCACAUGACCUGCCCCCCCC